GUCUGUUUGAAGGUAUAAAAAGUUUAACCUGCCCACUGAUAAAUUUUUUAAAGGGCCGCGGUAUUCUGACUGUGCAAAGGUAGCAUAAUCGUUAGUUUUUUAAUUGGAAUCUUGUAUGAAUGGUUUGACAAAAGAAAAUCUGUCUUUAUAAUUAUUUAUUGAAUUUAACUUUUAAGUGAAAAGGCUUAAAUAAAUUAAAAAGACGAUAAGACCCUAUAAAGCUUAAUAUUAAAUUUUUAUUUAAUUAAAUUUUAAAUUAUAAUAAAGAUUUGGUAAAUAAAUUUUAUUUUGUUGGGGUGAUAAUGGUAAAAUGAUUAUUAACUGUUAAUUUUUUUAGACAAAAAUAAAUGAAUAAUAAUUUGUUGUAAAGGAUCCUGUAUUAAAGAUUAAAAGUUUAAGUUACUUUAGGGAUAACAGCGUUAUUUUUUUUGAGAGUUCUUAUCGAGAAAAAAGUUUGCGACCUCGAUGUUGAAUUAAAAUAUCUAUAUAAUUGUAGCAGUUAUAUAAGAAGGUCUGUUCGACCUUUAAAAUUUUACAUGAUUUGAGUUCAGACCGGCGUAAGCCAGGUCGGUUUCUAUCUUUUAAUAUUUAAAAAAUUAUUUUAGUACGAAAGGAUUAGAUAAUUAAAAUUAUUUUUAAUAAUUGAAUGAAAAG
This 654-nucleotide ribosomal RNA is filed under the name Orisarma magnum. RNAcentral describes it as "Chiromantes magnus partial large subunit ribosomal RNA". The stretch from base 410 to 569 matches the Rfam family "Bacterial large subunit ribosomal RNA", at positions 2473 to 2632 of the family's 2925-position model. Lineage: Eukaryota; Metazoa; Arthropoda; Malacostraca; Decapoda; Sesarmidae. The record is from RNAcentral. RNAcentral also lists the same sequence under 1 other name.